AGGGGAGUAGAGAUAUGGGUAGAGGUGCAGGGAGCCUUCGGGUUCUCAACUUAUUUCCAAACUUCGAACCUCCUUGUUAGGCAUUUACCUAACUGGAAAUGCUUAAAUGAAUUAGCGUUACAAGUGGGCUCUGACCGGUAAGCGGUCAUGGCGAAAUGGGAUGAACCAUACGUCUGAAUAAGGUGCCGAAAUGUACUAUCACUGAUACCAUAAAGGGAGUCCAUGUAUUUAGACAGCAGGUCGGUGCCCCUAAAAGCAGGUAUCCGCUAAAGAGUGUGUUAAAACUCACCUGCCGAAUACUAGGGCCCCGAAAAUGAAUGGCGCAUAUAGUACUACCGAUCUCAGACAUCAGUUCUAUUGAACUGAGAGUAGGGGGAUGUGGACAUUUUUGUGAAGGUGCAAUGUGAGUUGGACUGGAAGAAUGUCUAUUACAGAUCCUAAUUGAAGUAGCGAUUAUCCAGGCUUGUAUCCUGGGGGCUGAUGAGGAGUAGGGUUUCUGGACAACUUAAACAGAUCCAGAGUUAGUCGAUCCUAAUCUCAAUAAUGGGAGAAAGGGAGUACAGUUGAUAUUCUGUAACUGACAACAGUUCGCGGCAACGCAUACUAUUUUUCUCCGCCAAUCUUAUACCGUUGGUAGGGAUCUCUUUCCUACAUGACAGUACUAAUACCCAGGGAAACUGGUCAUCAGGCGAACUGCGGCGUUCUGCUGGCAAAACAUAGCUUCGGUUAUGUCAAUGGCUAUUGGAUUGGUCCAUGAAGCGAAAAAUAGUUUACUGUGUCACUCGUACCGAUAACCGCAUCAGGUCUUCUAGGUAAGUAGCCUAUGGCCAUUGAGGCAUGAUAGUUCAGGGAAUUCGGCCAAUUAGAGCUGUAACUUCGGGAUAAAGCUUGGCUCUGAUGAAAAUCAGAACCGAUUGUUACGCGGAGAGCCCAACUGUUUAAUAAAAACGUAGUGUCGCGCUGUGGUAGUAUAGCCAGUGAACGCGACAUGAUCCUGCUCAGUGCUGUGUCUGUAUAUGGUUCAAGCCAACGAAGCACCGGUAAAUAGCU
RNAcentral lists this ribosomal RNA (1050 nucleotides) under Trichomonas vaginalis G3. RNAcentral's name for it is "28S ribosomal RNA". It matches the Rfam family "Eukaryotic large subunit ribosomal RNA", at positions 1002 to 2255 of the family's 3401-position model. The record is from RNAcentral. Lineage: Eukaryota; Parabasalia; Trichomonadida; Trichomonadidae.